GUCGAGAAUCUUUCACAAUGGGGGCAACCCUGAUGGAGCGACGCCGCGUGGAGGAUAAGGUCUUCGGAUUGUAAACUCCUGUCAUGCGUGAACAAGGUUGCUUGGAUAAUACCUGAGCAAAUUGAUGGUAGCGCAAGAGGAAGAGACGGCUAACUCUGUGCCAGCAGCCGCGGUAAUACAGAGGUCUCAAGCGUUGUUCGGAAUCACUGGGCGUAAAGGGUGCGUAGGUGGCGUGGCAAGUCAGAUGUGAAAGCCCGGGGCUCAACCUCGGAACUGAAUCCGAUACUGCCAUGCUAGAGUACUGGAGGGGUGACUAGAAUUCUCGGUGUAGCAGUGAAAUGCGUAGAUAUCGAGAGGAAUACCAAAGGCGUAGGCAGGUCACUGGACAGUUACUGACACUGAGGCACGAAGGCCAGGGGAGCGAACGGGAUUAGAUACCCCUGUAGUCC
Molecule: ribosomal RNA, 449 nt
Filed under: uncultured bacterium
Lineage: Bacteria
Description: partial 16S ribosomal RNA
Rfam family: Bacterial small subunit ribosomal RNA
Source: RNAcentral